Molecule: ribosomal RNA, 301 nt
Filed under: uncultured bacterium
Lineage: Bacteria
Description: partial 16S ribosomal RNA
Rfam family: Bacterial small subunit ribosomal RNA
Source: RNAcentral
CAGCAGCCACGGUAGUACGUAGGUGGCAAGCGUUGUCCGGAAUUAUUGGGCGUAAAGCGCGCGCAGGUGGUUUAAUAAGUCUGAUGUGAAAGCCCACGGCUCAACCGUGGAGGGUCAUUGGAAACUGUUAAACUUGAGUGCAGAAGAGGAGAGUGGAAUUCCACGUGUAGCGGUGAAAUGCGUAGAGAUGUGGAGGAACACCAGUGGCGAAGGCGACUCUCUGGUCUGUAACUGACGCUGAGGAGCGAAAGCGUGGGGAGCGAACAGGAUUAGAUACCCCGGUAGUCCCUGUCUCUUAUAA